Long non-coding RNA from Macrobrachium nipponense, 1947 nucleotides. RefSeq lists it as uncharacterized. The record is from RefSeq and is a predicted model, not a curated record. Lineage: Eukaryota; Metazoa; Arthropoda; Malacostraca; Decapoda; Palaemonidae. The transcript has 2 exons.
UUGAUGGUUGUCUAGACAAGUAGCUUUUGCAUGGCUGGUACCAAGAAUAUGUUAAAAAAAGAACUAAAUUAAAUAUUAUUUAAAAAACUAUAUAUUGAAAAAAUGGUAAAAGUUUCAUUAGCUGAAUUGAACAAGUUGAAAAUUCUGAUAAAAUUCAUGUGAGAACUUGUUUAAAUUUGGGCAGGCAUUUAAAAUGACUGAACUGAUGGACUGGAUCACAUGGACAAUUCAUCUCAUGCCCAUUGUUUACAUGAGUGUGGACACUAAAGAUAAGAUGAAAGUAAGAACUACACAAACCAAUGUUGGGUAUCUUAUUGUUUUAUUUUUAUUUUAUUUUGUUACUACAGAUGUAUAUUUUUAUUUUAUUUUGUUACUACAGAUGUCUAGAUUUAUUUUGAUUAUAAUAUGUAUAUGUAGUUCUGAUUGAUUUAUUUGCAUUUCCCAUAGCUAUGAAUAAUUUUAUUGUCUUUUCCAUUCUUUCAACCCCAGUAUGAGGGUUCUUUUGAUCUAGGGUUUGUACAUUAAAAACAGAAAGAUCUGUCAACUUUGUGUGAUUUCCUGAACAUGAUCAUUUAGGGAUAUGAGACUCUCCUAACCACUGCAACACAAAUGCAAAUGUGAUGAAAACUCCAGAAAGUUUUAGUGGGGUCAGCUUAUGCCUUUGUAAGUUGCUAACUGACCCUCAGUUCAAUAUAGGCUAGGCUAUGAUGGUUAUAUCUUUUAUGAAAAGAAUUUAAACUGUUUUUGUGCAAUACAUACACUUCAUUGAUGUUAGCAACUUUACACUCAUGAAAUGAAAUUCCUUUAAAAGGCUGAACUCUCUGGUUUGUUACAAGUCAAUUAGGCUAGUUGGCCUCUUCAAGUUGAUUUAUUGUCAAAGUUGUUUAACUGAAAGGGUUGGGCCAAAUAUUUAAUUCUUCAAUUAGAAUUAAAAAUUUUAGCUGAAAACAAUAAAUUAGUUGGAGAGACAGUUGGGAAGAAAAUAAAUGGAGUGGAUAGAAAUCAAUAAACAGAAAGCAGUUGUGGUGAUGGAUGAGUAUUUAUUACAUUACAAAGAACUUACACUGAUGUUUACAGUGGCCUAUGCAAGGCCAACACAGAAGAAAGCAACCUUCGGAAUUGUUUUGAAAGUAAAUGUUACUGUCAAGGUUAAAGCUGUGAAGCAAACUUUCUUUUUAUUGUAAGUUUUUAAACAAUAAAAACUUUCCACACAACACAGUAUGACAGUACGUGUAUACUAUGUGACAGAAUUAUAUUUGUAUACAGUAAUGUAAAAGUAAGUUAUUGACUUUACCAGAUUGUUAUUUAACUUUUAAGUGAACUGUAGCACAGAUUUGAUUCUCUUAGAUUUCAUUUCUUUCUUACUUAACAGGGUACUGCUGGUUAUAUAAAGUGAGAUGGUUUUUGUGUGGUAAUGUUAACACACAAUAUAGAAAUUAACAACUAAUAUUUGACAAUAAUACAUUUUUGGCUAAAGUCAAAAGAUGAAAGUACAUAAGGUGUUGAAAACUGUUAGUUGUCAUAAACUACUAAGUUUAAUUUUAUUUCAUGGAAUUAAAUAGAAACUAGUACAAGCUAGGGGUGCUCGGGGAAAAUUUUCCCCUUACAGUCUGAUUUAACUAGAAAUUAUAUAGAUAAUUAGGUUUGAAAAGUGUAAUGUUUUGCAAAAGUGCUUAUUUUGUAUAUGUAUAUUGCAAUUAUUUUCCAAUGUAGAAGUACACUAAUAAUAUGGGAUCUUACACUUUACUGUAACAUAACUGAAAAACUGUUUUGGAAUUAUAAAUACUAAACUGUAACACAUUGAUUUUUACUUUAUUAACAAAAGAAGGUUAGUGUUUGCUUUUUUCUACCUUAAAGGCCAUGAAUGAAGUAGUAUACUGUACUAGAAUUCAGGCAUAUGUUUAUGCCUUAAAACGUUUUUAUUGAGGUUAAAAAUGUAGCUUUUAG